ACGACUUCCACGCUGCAGUUUAGUUCUCAAGACUUGACGGGAAAGAGGAAACAGAUACGGUCAAGAUUGAAGUCCCACGAUGGUGCUAGUGGCAUCAUUAACAUUACAAGGUCUAUAAUUCGGAAUUUCCUCAAAACAGUUAACAAGAUCAAUUCUUCAUUGUAAGUGACUCAUCAAUUUGUUUUCUGUUAAUUAGACAUCGGAGCUAUGCUGCUGCCACAAUGGAGCUUUCUCAACCU
This 239-nucleotide long non-coding RNA is filed under the name Linum usitatissimum (flax). Its description in RNAcentral is "long non-coding RNA (LUSI_LNC000575)". Lineage: Eukaryota; Viridiplantae; Streptophyta; Magnoliopsida; Malpighiales; Linaceae. The record is from RNAcentral.